UCCGUUGUUUGCACAUUUUGUUGUUCCAGAAGUGUAGCUUUUUAAUUGCUUUUUCUGUCAACUCUUAUUUAUUGUAAGACACAGUGCUGAAGAGAAAGUCCAUUUGCAAAAUGCUCUUUGAAUAAGGAGUUUUCCAGCGUCACUUAAUGGGAUUCCAGGCAUUUCCCCAUUGAUAUUUUUUAUGUUUGUGCAGAUCCUAGGAAGGUUUCUGAGGAAUUCCUAUGAAGUAUUUUAACUGGAAACAUGGCUGUUCUGUUUUAUAGGACUCCUAAUCCACACAAAGCUAAACAACUUGAUGAUUUGAAAUAUUCACCCCUGCGUGGUAAUAUGGGAUUGGCAUCUAUUUCUGUUGGCAGGUACCAGAUGACAAACUUGGUGUUGAGCCAGGGUUAGGGUUUUGUUAGAGGUUUUUCUUCUGUCAUUGUCUCUGGUUUGCGGUAUUUACCUAUCAACUAUUAAAACCCCAAGUGCCUCAAAAUAACUGUUUAAAAAGCUUUGUUUCCCUGACUUUUUAUGUCUUGCCCAAAAAUUAUAAAAGAGAGAAUUAAUAUUUCCCAGCAGGGAAUUGGAUUUGCUAAAAUGUCACCACCAGUCUCUUAAUUAGCCCCUCAAAAUACCAUGUUGUCUCUUGAUCCUCAGUGGGAAAGAAUAUGAGUUGAAAUGAAAUGGAGCUUUUUCUUAAAUAACAAAACCAAAUAUGUCCUAAACAACAAAAAUCACAGUUGCAAAGUCAGAGGUCGUGUAGGAAAUCUUUUAGAAAAGCUGCACUUCAAAAUACCAACUGACUUAGAAAUUUGAAAGUUGAUGGAAAUAAUAGUAAAUGCAAUUCUUAAAAAAGGAUUAAUGUUUGCAUUAAAAAUAAACUUUUUGAUUAAUAAAGGUAAAAAAGGAAAAAAAUUCUCCUAGUGGUCUAUAAGACGUAUUGACUCCAGAUGUUAAUCUAUUAAUUUAUAUAAAGUUAGACCUUAAACCUCCUUCCUGUAUUUUCAGUUUAUUUUUUCCAAUUCUGAUAAAAUCAAGGUGCCUCAAACAGAGGUGUUAUCCCCAGUGAGGAGGAUGCUGAAAAAUGUAUCAGAACGCCCAUUUUUUAAUACUCAUGGAAGGAACAAGAAUCCUUGCCAUAAACUAUUUCUGAUGUGUUGUGCUCAUAUCCAGCACAAUGGCCAAAAGUGGCUGUUUAAUGUAAUUAGAACAUUAACAGAGGAUUUGCAGGUAUGAUGCAUAAGAAAGGUUCAUCUCCAGGCAUCAAAGAGGUCUGGAAGACAUACACCCAUUUCCCUGAGAAGACAGAUCUCCACAACAUGUUAUAGAAGCUUUUGUGCCUAUCACCUACUCUUUGUAGCUGUCAGGGAUAUCUUCUGUUAAUGGGCCAUUGAGUCUCACUGCAUGACUGAUAAAAUUACAUCAUCCCACUGUGAGAUGCUCUGCCCAGAGGUAGGAGCCAAGCAUUCCUACCUGGAUGUAAUCUGAAGUUUGGAACACCAUGGGCAGCCUUUCUCCACUAGAUUCCCAGAGGACAAGAGCUGCAUCCACCACUGGACCUUCAGAGGAAGAUCCAACCCUUCUACAGGAUCAUUGCUUCAAGAGAACCACAUCUAUCACUUCAACAGGACUGCAGCUGCCAUUUAAUUGGACUGCUUCCACCAUCCUGACCAACUGGCUGUCAGGCUGUAUCCUGACUCUAUCAGUGUUCCUAUACUAUUGCAUUUAUUUUACUUUUCCAAUUUAAUUAUAGCUCUGACUUUGAAUCUCUUAUUGGUUUGCAUUCAGACCAGUACACACUACCCAGAGGAAGCCUGGUGCACAAAUGGUAGUCAGUGCUGAGGUUGCUCUCUCUCAGUUUAGCUCAUUUCUGCUCAAUUUAACAUUUAAAAUUUGUGUAUUCUUUUGAUCUGAGGUCUUCAGCUGCCAUCAGCACUACUCUCUUACUCUGCUAGGUAAGAAUAGAUUAGCUACUCACAAGAGGCAUAUGAAAUUUUGUUUCGAUGAGAAACAAUAGGACAGUGGAAAGAGCAAGGAGAAAAUGAUGAUUUUUGGAGCAGGAUUUGAAUAGUUUGCAGUAAGAAAGUCUCUCCUUGAGUGAUCAAGCAUCUUUGUGUGCUCAGUGGCAUGGGUUUUUCAACCUAAAAAUUCUGCCAAAUGGUAAGGGAAACCACAGAGUUUUUUACAGCAGUGUGUGGUGUCCCUGGGAUGUAGCACCUGUCCUGUGGCAGCCACUUUCCAUGAAGCAGAAACUUGGAGGUGGUUUGGAGGACCCUGGGAGGACACCACAGGUUUUUGUGGCUGGUGUCUGCUGUGGUAUAGACAUAUUGGUAUGGACAUAUUGGUA
This is a non-coding RNA of Cyanistes caeruleus (blue tit), 2329 nucleotides long. Lineage: Eukaryota; Metazoa; Chordata; Aves; Passeriformes; Paridae. The record is from RefSeq and is a predicted model, not a curated record.